AGUGAACGCUGGCGGCGUGCUUAACACAUGCAAGUCGAACGAGAACGGAUUAUAGCUUGCUAUAAUUGUCAGCUAAGUGGCGCACGGGUGAGUAAUAUAUAGAUAACCCUGCCCUCUAGAAAGGAAUAACAGUUGGAAACGACUGCUAAUGCCCUAUAUGCCUUUAAUACAUAAGUAUGCAAGGGAAACGCUUUAGUGCUAGAGGAUGGGGUCUGUAAUGGUAUCAGCUUGUUGGUGAGGUAAUGGCUCACCAAGGCUAUGACGCCUAACUGGUUUGAGAGGAUGAUCAGUCACACUGGAACUGAGACACGGGUCCAGACUCCUACGGGAGGCAGCAGUGGGGAAUAUUGCACAAUGGACGAAAGUCUGAUGCAGC
This 376-nucleotide ribosomal RNA is filed under the name uncultured bacterium. RNAcentral describes it as "bacterial SSU rRNA". It matches the Rfam family "Bacterial small subunit ribosomal RNA", at positions 29 to 392 of the family's 1533-position model. The record is from RNAcentral.